CUCUAAAAGCUCUUUUUGAUAGGGAUCUAUUCGUAUUGUACACAUUAAAAUGGGAUUGAUGCUGAUAAUUUCAGUCUAAAUUGCAUAAAGGCUUUCUGUCAGUUGCUCUCAACCUUAGGCAAGUGAUUUUAACAACCCUGUUUUUCUUAUUAACAGAAUGGUUAAAUGUUAAAUAGUAAAGUAGAUGUGAACUUAACUGAUUGUAUAGUUCUACCCUGAAACUGCUUAGUGUGGGAACAACAUGGAUGACUUUGUUCCCUUUGCAAAGUUUGUUAUUUGAGAAUCUCCAAAUAACUUCCUCAGAAACACAUAUGGGCUUUUGGCUCUAUUGUGAAUUACCAAAAUGUUGAACAAAGCUGAAAGAUGUGGUUUAGCCCUGAAAAAUGGCCAAAUUUGAGUCUCUAUAACGGACCGAAUUUGUUUUUAGUGUCCUUAGUGCAGGCUAUAUGUAAACUGUAGUCCUUACAGGCUUUUUGGGGCUCUUAGCUGUAGUCACACUUGGAGUCAAGAAUGUCCUUCCAGUAAUUCAGGGAAUUCUAGACGCCUUGAAACUAUGAUCUAUUCAUUGAAAUUAACACAAGGAAAACCCUCACCAAAAUGAAAGCUUCAUUAAGAGAAGGCAACAACGAAAAGCAUAGGGAAUAUAGCAUAAGUCUUCAUGUGAGGUUCAACAUGGGUUUAUUGCUAGAGAGAUCCAGGGGAAUUAACCCACCAAUCUCAACUUUCCUAAUGCUUUAUUUCAGUAAUUUUUUAGAAGUAGGUCUGAGUGUUUUUCCAGACCGUCUGGUAUGUGUUUUUGUCAGGAGAGGUGAGGUCUUAAUGAGACUUCAUUUAAAGUCUGAUUAUCAACCAGAGGUUUUACUUGGUAUUACUGCCUUAUCUCAAAAUAAAAGAUUAGAAAUAAUUUGGGCGGUGGAAGUGCUAUUUCCAGAACAAAUAACAUUCAAAAGUGAUUUCGCCCCUCUAGUAGCAAUAGCUCUCAACAUCAUGGUUAGUCAAAAUUCAUUCCAAAUUAUAAGAGGCUUUCAGGGUAGGUUGGAGCGUUUAUUACAUAUUUUACUGUUCAAUGUCUUAUGGGGGCCUUUUAAUUUGUAAAUACAGAAGUGGUUGUGGGGCUGCAGAAAACAUUUAUCUUGCAAGUAAGUUUUAAAGGCAGUCCACUUUUUAGCAUGCAUGUUGUGUCCAGCCUGUGGUUGUCUUAAUUAAUAAAUGUGCUUUUUCUCCCCGGUCUCUUUUUUUUUUGCGUAUAGGCCUCUUCCCUGGGUUGGGUUUGAGUGGAAACACCUUUUAGUGUUCAAGUUUGCAAUUAAUAUGACUGCUUUCCAGCAGUACUGCUUAUUUUUUCCCCUCUUUACAAGCAUUUGUUCCUGUGCUUGUGUCCUAGACACUUACACAUGAUCAAAAAUCUAUUGAAUUAGCUCUGUUGCUAUUACCCCCUUUUCAUGAACUGCCCCUUCUUGGUUGUCCAGUGAAGUCUACUAGGUUGUCCUUUCGCCUGGACUAUUAAGUCUUUCAUGGUUUCCAUAACCACUUUUAAGGGAAUUGUGGACUCUGGGAUCAGCCAUUGUCCUGAAUUUGGGCUGUAGCACUUUUCCGCAAUCUAGUCUCUUCUGUUAAAACAGAGAUUGUACAUGUCAAGUGUCAGAUAAUCAUGGGUCACUAUUUUAAGUAGGUAGGUUUAAGUUUUGUUGGCAUGUUUUGAUGUCAAACCCUUAGAAGGGUCUUCUGGUAAAAGUUGCCUAUAUCCUGUGAGUGUGCCUCAACAUCACCUGGAGAGCCUGAUAAAAUAUGGCUGGGCCCUUUGCCGAGAGUUUCAGGUUUCUUGUGUGUUUCCCGGGUGAUGCAGAUGCUGCUGGUUUGGCACCGCCCUAUGAGAACCAUCGAAUCUGUAAGAGACUCCUGUAUUCCUCAGCCUCCCCCCACCCAGGGAGUUUUUAUUCAAGACACACAACUGCUAAUGCUAUUACCUGGAGUUGCUGUGAAGGUCUAGGUCUUUCAAAUCUACCAUAGAGGCCUUUUUCGAAAAGAACCAAGGCUUGCUUUUGUGAAUAUAAGAUUGAAAAGUGCAUUUAAAUGGUGAUUUGGUGAACACUAUUCUGACGUCUUGUACCGUGAUGCUGGAAACUAUGCCACUGGUAUUUCCAAUAUUAGCAGGGUGGUAUUUCAAAUAGCAGCGUCAAUCUGUGGUGCACACUUUUUCGGUAGAGCUUCCAGACUAGAGCAGGAAGAAAGGCCUGCUUCUGCUUCCAAAAUACACAAAAACCGCAUGGAUUACAGUAAAAGGUUGUGCCAUAUAGUGCUGGAAGAUGAGCCCCUAGGUCUUUGGAAGGUGCUCAAAAUACACAGCCACAGCAGUGGACUCUAAUCACAAAGAUUGCACAGGAGUGGGCAACGUUUCCUGCUGUAGAGUUGGAGCUGAUUCACAACAACUAGUAACAUUUUCUGGGUAAUAAAAAAAAAUCCGGGAGGGGAGGUAAAGCAGGAUAAUGAAUAGAUGGAAAUAUCCCUUAGGUACUAACGAGAACAAAAAGAAAAAAAAAGCGCAGCAAUUACGGAGAGCAAAGCUUGAGCUGCCAAACAAAAGAACAGCUAGUUAGGUGCGGAAGCACAUCGAGCCUUAUGCCGCCAUGACGGAGAGGCGCGGGCGGUCCCAGGCCUGCGUGCUGACGUACUUCCGUGGGUGGUGCCAGCUGCCGCGAGCACGCUUGUUUCCGUCGCGCCUGCGCCGUUGGUUCCCGGAGCCCUGGUACGGUUGUGGCGGUUUACUGGGAUCAGCUAACUGAAAAAGAUCGUGCGCUUUAACUCUAGGGGGAGAUGCGCUCUAGUGCAGCGGUCAGGACCUUCCGUAAAGCCUGCAGGUGCCUAUUCCCUGGGCGUGGGGGUCGCGUAGGUGGGGGGCUGCUGGAACGCUUGACGGAAAGGAGCAGCUUCCUCGGAAGACAGCUGAGGUGGUACGCGGCGCUCCCUGGGGGGAGCGAGCCGAGAGAAGCCCCCGAGUCCGGCGAGGGGAGCGAGGCACUGUUCGAGAUCUGUCAGAGAAGGCAUUUCCUCAGUGGAACCCAGCGGCAGCUGAGCCGAGAUUCUCUUCUGAGCGGGUGCCACCCGGGCUUUGGACCCUUGGGCAUAGAGUUGCGGAAGAACCUAGCCGCAGAAUGGUGGUCGUCGGUGGUGGUGUUCAGGGAGCAGGUCUUCCCGGUGGACGCCCUCCACCACGAACCAGGCCCCUCGCUGCCGGGGGACAGUGCCUUCAGGUUAGUUGCUGCAGAAACGCUCCGCGAAAUCUUGCAAGACAAAGAGCUGAGUAAGGAGCAGCUUGUAGCAUUUCUUGAGAACUUAUUAAAAACUCCUGGGAAGCUACGAGAGCACCUUCUUCACGGUGCCUUGAAGCACUAUUUGAAUUGCCUGGAUCUGGUCAACAAGAGGCUACCUUAUGGCCUUGCUCAGAUUGGAGUGUGUUUUCAUCCUGUUUCUGAUACUGAGCAGACACCUCAUGGUGUUAAAAGAAUUGGUGAGAAGACUGAAGCUUCCCUGGUAUGGUUUACUUCUGCAAGAACUGCAAGCCAGUGGCUUGAUUUCUGGCUACGUCAUCGGCUGCUCUGGUGGAGAAAGUUUGCAGUGAAUGCAUCUAACUUCAGCAGCAGUGAGUGUCAGGAUGAAGAAGGACGAAAAGGAAACCAGCUUUACUACAAUUUUCCCUGGGGAAAGGAGCCGAUAGAAACCCUGUGGAAUCUAGGAGAUCAUGAACUCUUACAUACUUUUCCUGGAAAUGUGUCUAAAUUACACGCCCGAGAUGGACGGAAAAAUGUGGUUCCUUGUGUUCUGUCCAUAAGUGGAGAUCUAGACCGAGGCAUGCUGGCUUACCUCUAUGAUUCUCUCCAGCUAACAGAGAACUCCUUUUCAAGAAAGAAACAUCUUCAUAGAAAGGUACUUAAACUUCACCCUUGUUUAGCCCCUAUUAAGGUUGCUUUGGAUGUGGGAAGAGGCCCAACAGUGGAACUAAGACAGCCCGGCUUUCGUCUCCAGCAUUCUGCUAAAGCUAGGCUUGUCAAGGUCACUGAUAACCUCUGUCUUAGUCAUAUAGUGCUGCAGUAACAGAAAUACUACACGCGGUUGGCUUUAACAAAGAGAAAUAUAUUUCCUCAGUAAAGUAGGCUAGAAGUCCAUAUUUAGGGCCUCAGCUCCAGGGUAAGGCUUUUUCUCUCUUUUGGCUCUGGAGGAAGGUCCUUCUCAUCAAUUUUCCCCUGGACUAGGAGAGGAGCUUCUCUGCGCAGGAACUCCAGGUCCAAAGGACGUGCUAUGCUCCCAGCACUGCUCUCUUGGUGGUAUGAGGUCUCCCCUCUCUGCUCUCUUCCCUAGGGAAACUCCCUUUACAUUGGAUCAAGGAUGUGACCUGAGCAAGGGUUAUUACCGUCCCACCCUAAUCCUCAUUAACAUAGUCUAAUCUUGCCUCAUUAACCAGAGGCAAAGAUUAGGAUUUACAGCACACAGGAAAAUCCUAUCAAUCACAAAAUGGAGGACAACCACACAAUAUUGGGAAUCAUGGCCUAACCAAGUUGACACAUAUUUUGGGGGGACAAAAUCCAAUCCAUGACAACCUCCAUCUUGCAAAUCAAGUGGUGAAUUCCCAGUUCUCAUCUUAGGUCACUAUCAGCAGGAUUUACACAAUCAUUCUCUUCUUUUUUAUUUUUAAUCAUUUCUCUUAUCUUAAAACACUUUCUUUAGUUGGCUUUUGGGACACUGCUUUCCUGGUUUUUCCUCAUACAUUUGUGACUUUCUCUUUAGUCUUUUUUCACUGGUUCUUCCUUCUCUUCCUGGCAUGGUAGUGUACCAUAGGGCUCAGCUCAGGACUCUUCAGAUGAGUUUGGACCUACAGGUUUUGUCUGCUAUAACCUGUUUUAGUUUUGUUUGCUGGUAUCUUGAAUGUCAAUGGUAAUAAAAAUUCUUAGGCUUGGCAUAAAGAUUUCAGAAGAUUUGCAUUUAGUAUAGGCAGUCGCCAGGUUAGGAAAGUCUGACUUAGUACAACCUAUAAUUACGAACCAAGUCCUGUAAAGCCUAUUAUAUUAAAAAUUCAAGGCGCAUACAGUGGUUUGUAAUAACAAACAAGUAUUACUUUGCCACACCCAGUUUCCCAGGACCAUGGCACCCAGCCUGGCUGCUCCCCGCCCCCACUCCCCAGCUGGGCUCGCCCCUCUGGUUGUAACCCCUCUGCCCGGCUUACCCACCCCCUACCCAGCCUUGGCUCGCUUGCCCUGGUUCCCCCCUCACUGCCCAGCUUGCUCCCAGUACACCCUCUCGGGCUUGGCCCCUGCUCCUGCCCCACUGGCCUACCAUUCCUCAGCUAGGGGUGACCCUUCAUCUCACAGCCCUGUGCCUAGGGCAGCAGCAGCUCCAGACAUUCUGAGGGACCUGAGGUGGGAGACUCACCAGUCUGUGGUUUGUCAAGGGCUAUUUAAUGAACUAUUAGAAAAUGGAAUUUCUGUGUGGCCUGGUUAUUUGGAAACUGUGCAGUCCUCAUUGGAACAACUUUA
Loxodonta africana (African savanna elephant) is the source of this 5528-nucleotide RNA transcript. It is a transcript of the gene named DNA polymerase gamma 2, accessory subunit, with no coding region annotated. NCBI's taxonomy places the organism in Eukaryota, Metazoa, Chordata, Mammalia, Proboscidea, Elephantidae. The record is from RefSeq and is a predicted model, not a curated record. The transcript is spliced from 8 exons.